This 238-nucleotide long non-coding RNA is filed under the name Brassica rapa (field mustard). Its description in RNAcentral is "long non-coding RNA (BRAP_LNC008782)". The record is from RNAcentral. Lineage: Eukaryota; Viridiplantae; Streptophyta; Magnoliopsida; Brassicales; Brassicaceae.
GUGAUUUAGAAAUUAGGAUAACAUGAAUUUUUGUUGAUAGAUGAGUAUUUUUUUAGAUUUUUUGACCAAUAGCUUAUAUUUUUUUAAAAAAAUUUCCAAAAAUUCUAUUUUAGGAAAAUUUUCAUUUUUAUAGAAAAAUAUUGUAGAUUUGGGGCUGUGAUUUAGAGAUUAGGAUAACAUGAAUUUUUGUUGAUAGAUGAGUAUUCUUUUAGAUUUUUUGAUCAAUAGCUUGUAUUUU